RNAcentral lists this ribosomal RNA (253 nucleotides) under uncultured bacterium. RNAcentral's name for it is "partial 16S ribosomal RNA". It matches the Rfam family "Bacterial small subunit ribosomal RNA", at positions 524 to 776 of the family's 1533-position model. The record is from RNAcentral.
UACGAAGGGGGCUAGCGUUGUUCGGAAUUACUGGGCGUAAAGCGCACGUAGGCGGCUUUGUAAGUUAGAGGUGAAAGCCUGGAGCUCAACUCCAGAAUUGCCUUUAAGACUGCAUCGCUUGAAUCCAGGAGAGGUGAGUGGAAUUCCGAGUGUAGAGGUGAAAUUCGUAAAUAUUCGGAAGAACACCAGUGGCGAAGGCGGCUCUCUGGUCUGUAACUGACGCUGAGGCGCGAAAGCGUGGGGAGCGAACAGG